CGUCUAUAUACGUAUAGCAUAUCAAUAAGCGGAGGAAAAGAAACUAACAUAGGAUUCCCUCAGUAACGGCGAGUGAAGCGGGAAGAGCUCAAAUUUGAAAUCUUCAAGGUUUUACCUUGACGAAUUGUAGUUUAAAGAAGUGUUUUCUGUUAGAGUUUGAGUAGCAAAAGUUCUUUGGAAAUGGGACAUCAUAGAGGGUGAGAAUCCCGUAUUUGGACUCAUUAUCUCCAGCUUUGUGAUACACUUUCAAAGAGUCGGAUUGUUUGGGAAUGCAGUCCAAAAUGGGUGGUAAAUUUCAUCUAAAGCUAAAUACUGGCGAGAGACCGAUAGCGAACAAGUACCGUGAGGGAAAGAUGAAAAGAACUUUGAAAAGAGAGUUAAACAGUACGUGAAAUUGUCAAAAGGGAAGCGUUUGACACCAGUGUUGUUUUUCUCGAAAAUCAAUUAAGAAUGGCCUGAUUUUGUGUUGUAUUGACCUUAUCAGCUUUCUGCACUUUUUUCUGAGUCUUUUUUAAUGCACUUUUCGGUUAACAAGUCAACAUCAAUUUCUUUUGUUGUAAAAGAGGUCAUUCGGAAGGUGGCUUUCUUUUCGGAGAAAGUGUUUAUAGCCCUUAUGCCUCUACAAUCGGAGAGAUUGAGGUCUGCAGCGUAGAUCCUUCGGGGUUAGAUACACUUUGUGCUAAGUUGUAGCUUUUCAUAGACAACUUGUUGACUAUGUUUAGUCAUGCGGCUUACUCGCUUAGUGCUAUUUUACCUACGCUUAGGAUGUUGACUGAUAUGUAGUCGUA
This 788-nucleotide ribosomal RNA is filed under the name uncultured Neocallimastigales. RNAcentral describes it as "partial large subunit ribosomal RNA". It matches the Rfam family "Eukaryotic large subunit ribosomal RNA", at positions 26 to 644 of the family's 3401-position model. Lineage: Eukaryota; Fungi; Neocallimastigomycota; Neocallimastigomycetes; Neocallimastigales. The record is from RNAcentral.